AGAGCUUUAGCUUAAAUUAAAGUAUUUGAGUUGCAUUCAAAAGAUGUAGGUUAAUAUCCUGCAAGCUCUA
Molecule: transfer RNA, 70 nt
Filed under: Phrynobatrachus keniensis (Kenya river frog)
Lineage: Eukaryota; Metazoa; Chordata; Amphibia; Anura; Phrynobatrachidae
Description: tRNA-Ala
Rfam family: tRNA
About the family: Transfer RNA (tRNA) molecules are approximately 80 nucleotides in length. Their secondary structure includes four short double-helical elements and three loops (D, anti-codon, and T loops). Further hydrogen bonds mediate the characteristic L-shaped molecular structure. tRNAs have two regions of fundamental functional importance: the anti-codon, which is responsible for specific mRNA codon recognition, and the 3' end, to which the tRNAs corresponding amino acid is attached (by aminoacyl-tRNA synthetases). tRNAs cope with the degeneracy of the genetic code in two manners: having more than one tRNA (with a specific anti-codon) for a particular amino acid; and 'wobble' base-pairing, i.e. permitting non-standard base-pairing at the 3rd anti-codon position.
Source: RNAcentral